Dicentrarchus labrax (European seabass) is the source of this 510-nucleotide long non-coding RNA. RefSeq lists it as uncharacterized. The transcript is spliced from 2 exons. The record is from RefSeq and is a predicted model, not a curated record. NCBI's taxonomy places the organism in Eukaryota, Metazoa, Chordata, Actinopteri, Moronidae.
UAGGUGAGGGAGGUGGUGUCGUACAGACUCGGGAAUCCGGACACCGCCAUUAUCAGCUUGUACUCCAUCUUGUUACAAACUGCUGCUUCUUCUUCUUCUUCUUCCGACAACAGCGCACUUCCGUUUCCGGUGACUGAAGACCCAAAAAAUGUCCCAUCAUCAUGAAUUGAAAUGAGACCUCAACUAUCCAGCUGUUAGAGUGGGGGGACCACUUCCUGUCAAACAGCUCAGAUCAAACAGCUGCUGACCUGGAGCCAGUCUCACUCUGCCUGUAGAGGGCGACGUCGCUCCUGAACUCAACAGCAUGAUGGAGCAAUCAUCGUUUAUAAGCAUCAUCAUCAUCAUCAUCAUCAUCAUAUAUGAGACAACCUGUGUGAAUGUAAAACACGUUAUUAGUAAUAAUCCAGCAGCUGGGCAACAAAAGAAUAAAGUAAACAGAAAAUGAUUGUUAUUAUUUUAAUGUGAAUGUUAAAAGUUAUAGAACUGUAAUAAAAGUCAUUAUCUGUGUAA